RNAcentral lists this ribosomal RNA (584 nucleotides) under uncultured crenarchaeote. RNAcentral describes it as "bacterial SSU rRNA". It matches the Rfam family "Archaeal small subunit ribosomal RNA", at positions 689 to 1278 of the family's 1478-position model. Lineage: Archaea; Thermoproteati; Thermoproteota. The record is from RNAcentral.
GCCCGACGGUGAGGGAUGAAAGCUGGGGGAGCGAACCGGAUUUAGAUACCCGGGUAGUCCCAGCUGUAAACGAUGCAGGCUAGGUGUUAGGGCGGCUACGCGCCGCCCUAGUGCCGCAGGGAAGCUGUUAAGCCUGCCGCUUGGGGAGUACGGCCGCAAGGCUGAAACUUAAAGGAAUUGGCGGGGGAGCACCACAAGGGGUGAAGCUUGCGGUUUAAUUGGAGUCAACGCCGGAAAUCUCACCGGGGGCGACAGCAGAAUGAAAGCCAGAUUAAAGGUCUUGCCAGACGAGCUGAGAGGAGGUGCAUGGCCGUCGCCAGUUCGUGCCGUGAGGUGUCCUGUUAAGUCAGGCAACGAUCGAGACCCGUGUCCCCCGUUGCAACCAGUCUUGAGCUGGGCACACUGGGGAGACCGCCGCCGAUAAGGCGGAGGAAGGAGCGGGCCACGGCAGGUCAGUAUGCCCCGAAUCUCCCGGGCCACACGCGAGCUGCAAUGGCAGGUACAAUGGGUCCCGACCUCGAAAGGGGAAGGAAAUCCCGAAAGCCUGCCGUAGUUGGGAUCGAGGGUUGAAGCCCACCCUCGUG